GGGCCCGUAGCUCAGUACGGUAGAGCGCUCGACGAUGGGGCGACGCUCUUAACCGAGUGGUCGCGGGUUCAAAUCCCGCCGGGCCCG
Molecule: transfer RNA, 87 nt
Filed under: Candidatus Bathyarchaeota archaeon
Lineage: Archaea; Thermoproteati; Candidatus Bathyarchaeota
Description: tRNA-OTHER
Rfam family: tRNA
About the family: Transfer RNA (tRNA) molecules are approximately 80 nucleotides in length.
Source: RNAcentral